RNAcentral lists this transfer RNA (85 nucleotides) under Nitrosopumilaceae archaeon. Its description in RNAcentral is "tRNA-Phe". It matches the Rfam family "tRNA". From Rfam's summary of the family: Transfer RNA (tRNA) molecules are approximately 80 nucleotides in length. Lineage: Archaea; Thermoproteati; Nitrososphaerota; Nitrososphaeria; Nitrosopumilales; Nitrosopumilaceae. The record is from RNAcentral.
GGCGAGAUCGCACAAAUUGGUAGUGCGUGGAUUUGAAAAAUCCAUAAUCUUCCCGGGUCCGCGGGUUCGAAUCCCGUCCUCGCCA